RNAcentral lists this ribosomal RNA (252 nucleotides) under uncultured bacterium. RNAcentral's name for it is "partial 16S ribosomal RNA". It matches the Rfam family "Bacterial small subunit ribosomal RNA", at positions 524 to 776 of the family's 1533-position model. The record is from RNAcentral.
UACGUAGGUCCCGAGCGUUGUCCGGGUUUAUUGGGCGUAAAGCGAGCGCAGGUGGUUUAUUAAGUCUGGUGUAAAAGGCAGUGGCUCAACCAUUGUAUGCAUUGGAAACUGGUAGACUUGAGUGCAGGAGAGGAGAGUGGAAUUCCAUGUGUAGCGGUGAAAUGCGUAGAUAUAUGGAGGAACACCGGUGGCGAAAGCAGCUCUCUGGCCUGUAACUGACACUGAGGCUCGAAAGCGUGGGGAGCAAACAGG